RNAcentral lists this long non-coding RNA (256 nucleotides) under Olea europaea subsp. europaea. Lineage: Eukaryota; Viridiplantae; Streptophyta; Magnoliopsida; Lamiales; Oleaceae. The record is from RNAcentral.
CAAAUCACAACCACAACACAAAGCAAAACCUAAAACAAAAUCCUUGCUACCCAUCGCCAGCAAAAUCCCCAAAUCACAACCACAACACAAAGCAAAACCUAAAACAAAAUCCUUGCUACCCAUCGCCAUCCACAUCCUCCCGUCGUUGCCCCAUCACCCACGGCCACCACUAUCACUGUCAACACAAAGUAAAAUCCCUAAAUCACAAUCACAAAACAAAGCAAAACUCCAAAAUCAACCUCUAUAUUGAUUUGAU